CUUAUGACCUGGGCUACACACGUGUACAAUGGACAGAACAAAGGGUGGAGACCGCAAGGUUUAGCCAAUCCCACAAAUCUGUUUUCAGUUCGGAUCGCAGUCUGCAACUCGACUGCGUGAAGCUGGAAUCGCUAGUAAUCGCGGAUCAGCAUGCCGCGGUGAAUACGUUCCCGGGCCUUGUACACACCGCCCGUCACACCACGAGAGUUUGCAACACCCGAAGUCGGUGAGGUAACCUUUAUGGAGCCAGCCGCCGAAGGUGGGGCAGAUGAUUGGGUG
This 279-nucleotide ribosomal RNA is filed under the name Bacillus pumilus. RNAcentral's name for it is "partial 16S ribosomal RNA". It matches the Rfam family "Bacterial small subunit ribosomal RNA", at positions 1201 to 1482 of the family's 1533-position model. The record is from RNAcentral. Lineage: Bacteria; Bacillati; Bacillota; Bacilli; Caryophanales; Bacillaceae.